This 467-nucleotide ribosomal RNA is filed under the name uncultured bacterium. Its description in RNAcentral is "partial 16S ribosomal RNA". It matches the Rfam family "Bacterial small subunit ribosomal RNA", at positions 28 to 507 of the family's 1533-position model. The record is from RNAcentral.
GGCGAACGCUGGCGGCGUGCUUAACACAUGCAAGUCGAACGGAAAGGCCCUGCUUUUGUGGGGUGCUCGAGUGGCGAACGGGUGAGUAACACGUGAGUAACCUGCCCUUGACUUUGGGAUAACUUCAGGAAACUGGGGCUAAUACCGGAUAGGAGCUCCUGCUGCAUGGUGGGGGUGGGAAGGUUCGGCGGUUGGGGAUGGACUUGCGGCUUAUCCGCUUGGUGGUGGGGUUGUGGCCUGCCAAGGCUUUGACGGGUAGCCGGCCUGAGAGGGUGACCGGGCACCUUGCGCCUGAGGUACGGCCCAGUCUCCUACGUGAGGCAGCAGUGGGGAGUAUUGCACAAUGGGCCGACGCCUGAUGCAGCAACGCCGCGUGCGUGAUGACGGCCUUCGGGUUGUAAACCGCUUUCGCCUGUGACGAAGCGUGCGUGACGGUAAUGGGUAAAGAAGCACCGGCUAACUACGUG